RNAcentral lists this ribosomal RNA (252 nucleotides) under uncultured Bacteroidales bacterium. RNAcentral's name for it is "partial 16S ribosomal RNA". It matches the Rfam family "Bacterial small subunit ribosomal RNA", at positions 524 to 776 of the family's 1533-position model. The record is from RNAcentral. Lineage: Bacteria; Pseudomonadati; Bacteroidota; Bacteroidia; Bacteroidales.
UACGUAGGUGGCGAGCGUUAUCCGGAAUGAUUGGGCGUAAAGGGUGCGCAGGCGGUCUGUUAAGUCAGCGGUCAAAGCCCGGGGCUCAACCCCGGCCCGCCGUUGAAACUGGCAGUCUCGAGUUGGAGAGAAGUAUGCGGAAUGCGCGGUGUAGCGGUGAAAUGCAUAGAUAUCACGCAGAACGCCGAUUGCGAAGGCAGCAUACCGGCGCCCAACUGACGCUGAGGCACGAAAGCGUGGGGAUCGAACAGG